This 425-nucleotide ribosomal RNA is filed under the name uncultured bacterium. RNAcentral's name for it is "partial 16S ribosomal RNA". It matches the Rfam family "Bacterial small subunit ribosomal RNA", at positions 354 to 796 of the family's 1533-position model. The record is from RNAcentral.
GUGGGGAAUCUUAGACAAUGGGGGAAACCCUGAUCUAGCCAUGCCGCGUGAGCGAUGAAGGCCUUAGGGUUGUAAAGCUCUUUCAGCUGGGAAGAUAAUGACGGUACCAGCAGAAGAAGCCCCGGCUAACUCCGUGCCAGCAGCCGCGGUAAUACGGAGGGGGCUAGCGUUGUUCGGAAUUACUGGGCGUAAAGCGCGCGUAGGCGGACCAGAAAGUUGGAGGUGAAAUCCCAGGGCUCAACCUUGGAACUGGCUUCAAAACUCCUGGUCUGGAGUUCGAGAGAGGGGAGGGGAAUUCCGGGUGUAGAGGUGAAAUUCGUAGAUAUUCGGAAGAACACCAGUGGCGAAGGGGACACACUGGCUCAUUACUUACGCUGAGGCGCGAAAGCGUGGGGAGCAAACAGGAUUAGAAACCCGAGUAGUCC